UACAGAGGGUGCAAGCGUUGUUCGGAAUUACUGGGCGUAAAGGGCUCGUAGGUGGCCAACUAAGUCGGACGUGAAAUCCCUCGGCUUAACCGGGGAACUGCGUCCGAUACUGGUUGGCUUGAGUUUGGGAGAGGGAUGCGGAAUUCCAGGUGUAGUGGUGAAAUGCGUAGAUAUCGGGAGGAACACCAGUGGCGAAGGCGACUACCUGGCCUGUUCUUGACGCUGAGGCGCGAAAGCUAGGGGAGCAAACGGG
RNAcentral lists this ribosomal RNA (253 nucleotides) under uncultured bacterium. RNAcentral describes it as "partial 16S ribosomal RNA". It matches the Rfam family "Bacterial small subunit ribosomal RNA", at positions 524 to 776 of the family's 1533-position model. The record is from RNAcentral.